AGUCGUAACAAGGUCUCCGUUGGUGAACCAGCGGAGGGAUCAUUACCGAGUUUACAACUCCCAAACCCCUGUGAACAUACCACUUGUUGCCUCGGCGGAUCAGCCCGCUCCCGGUAAAACGGGACGGCCCGCCAGAGGACCCCUAAACUCUGUUUCUAUAUGUAACUUCUGAGUAAAACCAUAAAUAAAUCAAAACUUUCAACAACGGAUCUCUUGGUUCUGGCAUCGAUGAAGAACGCAGCAAAAUGCGAUAAGUAAUGUGAAUUGCAGAAUUCAGUGAAUCAUCGAAUCUUUGAACGCACAUUGCGCCCGCCAGUAUUCUGGCGGGCAUGCCUGUUCGAGCGUCAUUUCAACCCUCAAGCACAGCUUGGUGUUGGGACUCGCGUUAAUUCGCGUUCCUCAAAUUGAUUGGCGGUCACGUCGAGCUUCCAUAGCGUAGUAGUAAAACCCUCGUUACUGGUAAUCGUCGCGGCCACGCCGUUAAACCCCCAACUUCUGAAUGUUGACCUCGGAUCAGGUAGGAAUACCCGCUGAACUUAGC
RNAcentral lists this ribosomal RNA (541 nucleotides) under uncultured fungus. RNAcentral's name for it is "eukaryotic LSU rRNA". The stretch from base 194 to 347 matches the Rfam family "5.8S ribosomal RNA". The record is from RNAcentral. Lineage: Eukaryota; Fungi.